ACAUACCAGAUUUUGGUAUAAAAAUAAAAAUAAAUAAAAAUAGUGUGAGAAACUAUUUUUAUUGAAUUUAGAGAAGUAAAACAUAAGUCAGAAGUGACUUGUGCUGAAAUCGGAAUGAAAACAGAGGAUUUAAAAUUUUCUGUUGGAAACGAGACAGAUAAAUUAGCAGAAAAUGCAUAGUCUCAGAAAAUUAUGAAAACUGGAGGAUAGGCUAGAAUUAUUUUUAUAAGGCUAGAUUUAAAGUUUCGUGUCAUUCUGACACCCGGAAAGUGAAAAAUAAAAUCCGACAGCUAUCUGAUAAAGAUUAUAGUUUGGUACAGUUUUCGGUGACCAAACGGGGUCGAAACUGAAAACUUAAGAUAUAUUCUUACUCAGUACGUUAAACCGAGCCUGCCUGU
RNAcentral lists this long non-coding RNA (398 nucleotides) under Ananas comosus (pineapple). RNAcentral's name for it is "long non-coding RNA (ACOM_LNC013410)". Lineage: Eukaryota; Viridiplantae; Streptophyta; Magnoliopsida; Poales; Bromeliaceae. The record is from RNAcentral.